This 228-nucleotide ribosomal RNA is filed under the name Desulfitobacterium hafniense. RNAcentral's name for it is "partial 16S ribosomal RNA". It matches the Rfam family "Bacterial small subunit ribosomal RNA", at positions 1 to 214 of the family's 1533-position model. Lineage: Bacteria; Bacillati; Bacillota; Clostridia; Eubacteriales; Desulfitobacteriaceae. The record is from RNAcentral.
UUUUUGGAGAGUUUGAUCCUGGCUCAGGACGAACGCUGGCGGCGUGCCUAACACAUGCAAGUCGAACGGAGAAUUUCAAUAAGUUUACUUAGAGAAAUUCUUAGUGGCGGACGGGUGAGUAACGCGUGGGUAACCUACCCAUAAAGCCGGGACAACCCUUGGAAACGAGGGCUAAUACCGGAUAAUCUUAGAUGUUGGCAUCAACGUUUAAGGAAAGGUGGCCUCUGA